Non-coding RNA from Macaca mulatta (Rhesus monkey), 181 nucleotides. The record is from RefSeq and is a predicted model, not a curated record. NCBI's taxonomy places the organism in Eukaryota, Metazoa, Chordata, Mammalia, Primates, Cercopithecidae.
GGACGCUCAGUGGCCCAUUCAGAAUACAAUUGUGAUACUCCUGGACAGGACAUGAAAAAGGCACCAGAGCAGCUACGUGUGCAGUAAUGACAUCUCAAAGGCCAACAGCACUGGCUGGAGAAUAAAGGCGUUUUAAAGGUCUAAGAACACUGGAUUGGAGAGCCAAGGAGAACCCUUGAUG